Molecule: long non-coding RNA, 268 nt
Organism: Brienomyrus brachyistius
Lineage: Eukaryota; Metazoa; Chordata; Actinopteri; Osteoglossiformes; Mormyridae
Exons: 5
Source: RefSeq, a predicted model, not a curated record
GGGAAGAUCUCUUCCUGGACCGAAGGGUGACGAGGGACGGCAGGGACCUGAAGGCGAUCCUGGACCGUUUGAGUUUGUGACCCUGCCAGAAGGAAUCUACCCACCAGGACCCAAGGGGGAUCAAGGUGCCAAAGGUCAAUGUGGACCCCCCGGUGUCAAUGGAAGAGACUCCCUGCCAGGAGAAAAGGGAGCAAAAGGAGUCGUUGGCUUUCAAGGUCCUCGGGGUUUACCUGGUCAUCCUGGUUUGCCUGGUAUUCCUGGAAUAAAG